Molecule: long non-coding RNA, 6235 nt
Organism: Athalia rosae (coleseed sawfly)
Lineage: Eukaryota; Metazoa; Arthropoda; Insecta; Hymenoptera; Athaliidae
Exons: 3
Source: RefSeq, a predicted model, not a curated record
GGCGUCACCUAAUGUCCAUCUCCAAUGUGCAUUUCUUUUUCCUCCCUUUUUUCAACCAUUUCAUUUCGUCGCAUCGCAGAAACGGAAAUUGCUACGGAAGAACCAACAAACUGCAUUCCGCUGCACUGCGGAAUCGGAGAUGGUGCAGCCAGCCUCUUUCGCUGAUAUGUUGCUGCAUUGCACUACGUCGUCGUUGCUGCCGCAUCGAGAAGAAGUAUCUAAACAUAUACCGUGUGCACUCUUGAGAGAGACAGAGAGACUAAUAUUUAUUUAAACAUAGAAAAAAAGACUAGAAAAAAAAACUAAAUGAAUAGAAAACAACUUACGGAGUCCCGUGCCGGGAUGCUUCGGCGAGGGAAGGGAAUUCUACUGGCGCCUCUCGAUAGACGUAGAACAAACAGUUUUUUUGUUCGUUCUAUACCACACACGCCCACGUAUGACAUGUACACACCGUAUAUAAUAAUUAUGACGUAGAGAAAUUCAGCAGAUUUGCAGCAUCAUCAUCGUGGAAGAUAGCGAUAAAAAUUAUCAUUGUUUGCUAAUGAAAUAUGAAUCGAAAUGAAAUUACAAUAUGGGUUGUGCUCUACUGGUGAUACGGAUGAAUAUCAUUUAAUGGGAUCGACAAAAAUCGUGGCGGCGUUGCAGUUCUGGUCGCGCCACGCCAUCAGGUUCAAAUUGGCACCUCGAGAUCGAGAUAAGAAGAAAAAGGUACACGAGGAGACUCGGAUCACGGCGAUGCAUUGUCUCGUGGUAGUUUCUUUUCGGAUGAAAGAAAAAAAAAGGAUCGGUUUUUUGCUUUACAUUCAAAAGAAGAGAAAAGGAGAAAGAAUAAAGCGCGACGUAUAGAAACACGAAUCGCAACAGGGAUCGUCAGUUUUUCAAGUGUUUGAGCGCGAAUUUACGAUCACUCGGUCGCUGGCUGUACCGUGGCGCGGAUGGGCAUAAACGACAAAGGAUUUAUUUUUGUUUAAAAGAAAAACAGAAAAAAGAAAAAAAAAAAAGGUAACACGAUAAAAAUAAAACUGAAAUAAGUAAGGAAAAGUAGAGAAAAAAGUAAAACCAAAAAAGUGGACAACAAUGGGAGGGAAUUCGGGGCCUGGCGGCAUCAAGAAAUUUCAUCUAUUCAGUCCGAAAUAAAUUCAAAGGGGGAGGACGGAGGGCAGGGGAACGGGGGGGCGCUACAAAAGGAGAGAAGAAAAUAACCGUAGAGACGAGGGUUUCAUUUCGAGAUUCAAAGCCAAAGGCCAUAAGGUGGUGGUGGAUACGAUCCUUCGACGGGUACAAAGCCACAAAAGCACCACCACCAUCGGAAAUCCCUGUGGCCGCGCUGGGGCCGGACCCCGACGGUCCCCGACGCAGUGGCGACGUUGGCUACACGGGACUUCAUGGAUCGUUCUAACUCGGCGUAGCUGCCUCACGAUCCUGAUCCUUAUUCCUUAUUUCUCGGGUCAGAACCGGCCGGCUUAUUUCCCUCUUGUAUAUAACGUCGUCUUGGGUCCUCUAUUCAGCCACAUGACGAGAUAGGGGCGACUCCAGUUCCGCGAGAACCCCGAGACUCGUUUUAAAAACUUGUGGGCACCGUCAGAUCGACGUUAAAAAAUAUGUUUAAAGAUUACGUUGAAAAUAAAUAAUGUAUAGGGAUGGAAUGCGCCUAUGUUGUCAACGCGGUUAGAUCGGUCCGCGGAUAUUACGUCAUCGCGUAUAAUAAAUAUACACAACGUUGCAUAUAUGGUUAUACGUUUCGAUGAUUCAUAUUCAUAAAUCGUGAAUUUUCACGCUAAUCUGAGGAUAUUUCAUAGUUCAAGAUCGUUUUCAUCAGCUAUACACGAAUUUGAUGGGCCAACGCUUCGAAGUUUCUCUUCCAUUACACGGCCGAGGAUAUUCCCAACUAUACACGUUAUAGAAGAAAUGCGAAUAUAAUCGGAUAGAGUUUUACUCGAAACAUUACUGAACUAUUCUACUCUCGGGUUAUCGCUUUCUCGCCUCGAUCUGAAUGAAACUUGCAACUAAUACAAGCUGGGCAUUGUACACGUGUACUAUAAUAUACGACGUCUGGAGUGGAUCGGUGCACGGUGCAAAGCAAAUCGGGUACUUCGAUUCCGGUUUAAACACACUUCGUAUCGGAAACUUGUUGAGAUAAGAUAUGAUCGCUGUGUGCGGUUACACGUGUGUGUAUACGUGUACCGUGUAAAAUGAGUUCCAGGAUAUUCCGACUGGUUGCACACUCGUCAUAUAGGUUGUAUCGACACCGAUAAUGCACAAACGCGAUCUCUGGCCGCUGAGGCGAUUCUGGAUACGAUUUUUCAUUUUUUUAUCGAAUAAUUUCUACCGUGCGACGCGACAUCGCGAGCGGAUGAUUUACGUUUUUUUUCUCAGGGUUCUGGGGCGGGUGUGUUCGUUCCUGGAGUUAGGCGAGGCAGAAGGAGAGCCCGUAUAACAAAGAUCCAUCGAGACCGGUUUCGUGUUCUGCCCUUUUUUCCUUCUUCUCCAAGAAGCCCCGCCGUGCGUCGGGUGUGAAAACCGACACCCACCCACUUGUUAUUUUGUCAAACACAAGCUCUCAAAAUUAUAGGAAUCAUGCUCGUGGAGUUGAUCCCGCGAGUAGGUAAGUGGUCAGGUGUAUACCUAUGUAUCCGGCAAAUUACGUUCGAUUGUACGCUUUUAAGAACGUUUUAUACAACUGUUAAUUAAAUUUUAUUAUUUGUCGCAGGACGCGCGACCAGAAAACUAUACCAACGCGAUUUUACAUUAGCUGGAGUGCAUGCACACCGCAUGAACGUGAAUACGUGGAGAUGCAAAUCAUUAAGUUAUUUCAAAGUCGUUAUAGAUUCAUUAUCAUUAUCGUGAAAAGCUAUAUAAAUUGAAAAGAAAAAAAUCGUUUCAUUCCAUUUACUUAACGUCCACCGAUAAGAUCCCCAUAAAUAAGGAGAACAACGAAAACAACAUGCAAAUAUUUAUGAUAUAUUAUUCCGUUGAAACUUUGAAAAGGAAAUGGAGAUAUUAAUUUUUCCCCAAUAACAACCGUGAGUUUCUUAAAAAUAUUAUUUCCCCUCACGAAAGGUAGAACGACCUAUUAUUACGUUGACUUGUAUACCUAUAUCUGUUUUAAGUAUGAUAUGAAAACCUGAAACUUUAGGCGUAACUACAGGCUACGGGUCCCCUUAAUCGAGGCGAGGGUGUUAGCUCGUCGUACGAUUGGAAGAGGCAUUAACUAAUUGAAAGAUUAGCGAGAUCAAUUGUAAAUUAUUACCAAGUUAAGUAGGUAUAAAUGGGGCUCGUAGAGAUCUCGUUCCAACAAUAAUAUAAGUCCGUUGCUCGCGAGGAUAUACCUAGAGGUACGUGCGUUGCGGAUAUAUCGUGUAGUACACGUACCUACUACGUAGAAAAAUAUUCUCAUUUACCGCGACCGGAGCAUUAAAUUUUCAAAGACGUUUUAACGGUCGUAAAAAAUUUCCCAGCGGUCCGCAAAGAUUCCCGGUUUAUAUUCCGCGGCAGUUUCGACGAGAAUAAAAAUUAAUAAAAGAUAAAAUAACGCCCGACACCCUACGGCGGAUUUGAUCACUCCAGCGGUGUUAAUCUGGUUGUAUUUUUAUUUCAUCGGACGUAUAAUGUUUAUAAAGAAAAAAACUAAAAGAAAAUAUACGCCUCGGCCGUAACGAUCGCCGCGGCUUGAGCUUCGGAGGUGCGAGUUCUAAAUUAUACUUUCUUUCGAAAUCCGGUGGCCGUUUUUGCCCCGCGUCCUCCCGCUUGUCACAACCGAAGGGAUGGGACGCGAGGUCCGCGGCGCCGCGGCGGGUCGGGUCCAAUCUUCUUUGGAGAUCGGUAGCUGGUGGCUACAGGCUGAUCUUAUUGUUCUUAUGGCGUGAAACGUUUCAACGGUAGCCGCGCAGCAUCGGCAGAUCUCACAGUUCGUCGUUUCGAGCGACGCGUGAUCUCUGCGGGGCCCGACGUUACACGUUAUUAUGGCGGGCAUGCGGCGCUCUAGAGUAGUCGCUCCAUGGUUCUUCGCCUAAGUAACGAUUAUUUUUAAACAUCAAACGUACGAGAUAUCGAAACGCUGGACGGUUCAUGUCGCCUAUAGCAAUGUGAAAUGAAAAGUAACACCGUGAAACGCGCGGCUGGAUAUAUCUAUACGAGACGCUGAUAAUAUCGAGAUCGGAAAUAAUAAUUUUUAUCACCGUGCAGCGAUAGGUGUCGACUUCGGAGAAGAGAAAAAAAAAAAAACCGGACCGCACAAAUUUUCAGAACUCAAACGCUGCGUUUGAUUGUUUGAUUUGCACUCGAGAGGAAUAUGAAUGAAAAAUAAUAAAACGAGUCGAAUAAAUAAAAGAUCACACCGAGAGCGUCCUCGACUUCCAAUCGGGUUUCAAAGGUAGCUCCAGGUAUUUUUGAGAUUCACCAAAAAUAUCAAAAAAACAUUCUCGGGGUUCGCCAAUGUUGAUUCGGCGGUAAAAAAAAAAAAAAAACUGUUUGCGGACCUGCAGGAAAACCAAAAUUUUUAUUUCACGUACCGCAAACUCUUGAAAACCGUAUGCGCAUAAGUAAGGAUAAAAUGUAUUUUCAUAAACUCGUCGUGUGCGUUUUAUAUUCUUACGAAACAUUAAAUAAAUUCCAGCUGCGCACCGUAAAUAAUAAUAAAAAAGAAAAAACCAGAUAGAAAAGAUUUUUAUACAUACGGAGUAUUUGCGAUGCGCCUAUCUUUCGAACCAGAGUAAACUUUUGGUUUCGUAAUUUCGCAGUACGUUAUAAAGAAUUCACCUUUGCGGCGCGUCGAAGAGAAGAUGACUUUUUUUUAUUUAUUUUCUUCUUCCUUUUAUCUUUAAGUUUCUUUACGUAUGCGUAAUUUUCUUUUUUUAUUAUUUAUUUAUUUUUUUGUGACGGACGAGCGAGUGCCACGUGUUGCCUAAAGAUAUAGAUGGUAUUAUAUAGAAGUAGAUAUAUGCCAUUCGUAUACAUAUAUAAUUGUAGGCGGAUGUUAUGUGGGCAAAUAUCUACGUAUCGUGAAAAUUUCCAAACCAUACAGAUCCUAUCUUUUUCUCUAUUAUAUUAUACCCAUUAAACGUGAAUUAAUUAUAUGUAUAUUACAUAUGUGCCGAAUUUGCAUUUACGAAAAUGAAGAAAUAAGUAAGCAAAAAAUGAACAAAAAUAAGGUGAAGAUGAAAUCAAUCUUCCGAGAAUCGAGAGAUUUAUAUUUUUGAAUGCUAUAUGUGUAAGAAACGAAUGAAAAGUUGUAGUAUAUUCUUUUGAAAGUCAACUUGCACGCCCGAUUAUCUUAUGUGGAUAGUACGUAUAGUAUAACGGGAUUUCUAAAUCUUAAGGUGUGCGCUUCGAUGAUGUACGUAGAUACUCGAAUGCACAUAUGUAAAAUAGGUUUAUCUGUAUAGUCGCAAAAUUAACAUGUGUUAACUAUUAACGCUGCCCACGCUAUAACAUUCGUUUCUUGGAAUUUCCGGCAAAACCGGAAUUUCGUUUAUUAAAUGUGUAUAUCUAUAGAUCCAUUUCUAUGGGUGAACCUCACAGGUGUCUGAAUCUUGUGUGGGUUGCCGGAUAAUAAAUGACUUCAAGAAAUGCAUAUCACAAGAUGCAAGGAGUUUCACGUUUUGAAAUCGCGUAUAAUUUUAUUACAAGUUCGAUAAGACGAUAGCAUAAUUUACUGUACACCUCAGCGAUGUUCAAUUAGUCGAAUGAAUGCUUACCGCAAUUUAUUUAUAAGUGUUUUAUCUUAAUCGCGCGCCGCGAAUCGAAUUUUAGUUGGGAGUCUUAAAGAUUCGCUCGCGGUCAAACCGGAAAUGAUUAUUAUCUAUAAUGAUACGGAAUAGGACGAGAAAAACGGCGAUGAAAAAGAAUCGUAUAUAUUUCGAAGCGUUACCUCGUAUAAACCUGUAGGUAAUUUGGGGAAAUUACCCACAGUUCCGCAACUUUCAAGAUUACGAAAUAUGGCAUAGUAUACACGUAAUUUUUUUAACGCCAAAGAACGCAGAUUAUGGUAUACCCGUACAGCGUGAAGUUCUGCCGCCGAUCCAGAGCGUUUUUAUUUUAUUACAUAGUCGCGAUGCUUUUUAUCUAUUCAUUUCAGUUUUUGUUCAACAUUUUUUAAUUAAAAACGCUAUUCGGGCGUCAAUCUCGAUGACGAAUGACUCCGGAGGCCCCUCAAUUUCGAAGGUGCGGUGUGACCAAUUGAAUAGAGAAAUUUAAACGGUCCUACCCGCUCGAAUGGAAAACGACCAGCGAUUCG